Molecule: RNA transcript, 1196 nt
Organism: Chiroxiphia lanceolata (lance-tailed manakin)
Lineage: Eukaryota; Metazoa; Chordata; Aves; Passeriformes; Pipridae
Gene: SRSF7
Gene name: serine and arginine rich splicing factor 7
Exons: 7
Source: RefSeq, a predicted model, not a curated record
UGUUACACCAGUUUUCUUUAAACUUUAACUCUAGAAUAAAUGUAUAGGUGUAUAUUACAAUUUGUUGCUAUUUCUAUCAAAUGUUAAUAUCUUAAUAAUCAACCUGGUCAAAACCUUUCAGGUUUCUUCGUUUGAGUCAGUCGCCUUGAUUCAGAAUGUCACGAGCCUUAAGAUUUCAUGCUGAGGCGCCUUGCAAAUCCGACACUUAAGAUCCUCCUAGACCUUGAGGUGAUCAGCAUAAGAGGCCAGAUCCCCUCGAGCCAUCUACACGUAGCUUCACCUUAUUCUUUAAGGGCAGAAAAUUUGAGACGGUGACCGCCGUAACAGUAAAUUUGGCUUUCAAUUGGGGCCCCCCUCCGGUUUAGAAAGAGGAACACCAGAUUGACCACAUUCCCACCUAGAAAAAUCUUCUUGCGUCAAUCAAGCCUCACCCUGGCUCAUUGGGCUGUCAGUUUGAUCGUCGUUAGAUUGAAGAGAACACCUAGAUGCAGCGAUCGGCUAUAGAUACUUCUAGAUCGUCUAGAUCUGCUAGACCUUGGGCCAAAGAGGGUCGACCUGCAAACUUGCAAGGUCCCGGUCUAGAUCACGCUCGAGGUCCCGUGGAAGGAGAUAUUCUCGGUCACGCAGUCGGAGCCGUGGUAGGAGGUCCAGGUCAGCUUCCUAUCGUAGGUCCCGGUCCGUUUCUCCUCGUAGGUCUAGGUCCGUGUCUCCUCGCCGGUCCCGAUCGGCUUCCUUGAAGAGAUCAAGGUCUAGAUCAAGAUCCAGAUCUAGGUCAAGAUCUGUUACAUGGCCCCGAAGCAGGUCUAGGUCUCAUGGCAGAUCAAAGUCUGGCUCUCCAGCUAAGAGUCGGUCAAAGUCCCGAUCACCAUCUCCAAAGAGAAGCCGCUCACCAUCAGGAAGCCCGCAAAGAAGUGCAAGUCCUGAAAGAAUGGAUUAAAGUUAUGAAGUUAAUCUUUUAGGAAGAAAGUUAUUUUGCUUACAUUAUUAUAAGGGAUUUUGUGGUGUCUUUGUAAAUGUAAGAAUGUAGAUAGAAGAGUAUAUCGACUAAAAUUUGGCAUGAUCUGGGUCUUCUGAGUUAGUCACACCAAUAGACUAGCACAGGUCUCUUUUUAUUGUAUGAAAUAACUUCCUGUGAUAUGAAAAUGUGGGACUUUUUUAUUGGCACAUUGAAAUAAAAUGUGUAUUUUUAACUAAAA